CUCCGGACCUGUGACAUCAUCACGUACGCUGGUACAAAUCACGAGUCCGUGCUCGCGUACUUGAGAAUUGAGAAACGGCCGACGAGUCCGUGCUCGCGUUCUCGGCAGGUACGUACUCCCGUGCGUUCUCGGCGGGUACGUACUCACCGAGCACGCGAGUACGUACUCGCGUACUUGGGCAUUGAUAAACGGCCCUGGUGGUUCUAUCCCCGUGUGUCCGUCAGAUAUCUAACCCCACGUUGCAUCCAUCAGUGUGUGAGUGUUUGACAGAGAACAUAGCAGAGAUUUAAAUCAGCGACAGUUAAAACAAACAGACUCAAAACAUCCACAAAGUCUCAAAAUAACAACAAAACAAGUACUAAGAGAUUCAGAGUAACAGCUACAGUCUCACAACAGCUAAAACUACUAGAAAGACUUUGAAAACAAGCACAAAAAGACUGAAAACAGGAAAAAAAAAGUUAAAACCAGAGAUAAAAGCUAGCACUAAGAAAGACAUUCAGAAACAAACAUCUGUCUAUAGAUACAUUUAAAAAAAACCAUUUAAACUAAAAGGAUUACUCACAUAUAUAUUGAUGGAUAUGUUUUGCAGCAGAAUAAUUUUUUACGUUUUUAUUUAUUUGAUGGCCACCUAAACAGAGUGUCACGCUCUCACUCGCAUGCAGUAAUUAAUACCAGUGAAUGAAGUCAUAUGUCCCCUGUGAGCAGCUCACGGACCUGACAUUAGAUUUUCCUGCUGCUCAUUAUUGGUAUGCAGCCUGGAGAGAGAGGGGGAGAGGCGGUCAGAUCGAACUUCACUGACUUUCUCGGAGCAGAGUUGGUUAAGUAACAGCUGUUUGAGGAGAAGGAGAAAAAUCACAGUGAGUGUUUGAGCUGUGUUGAAAUGGAGACGGGCAGAUAGUGUGACUGUUUCUGAGACAUGCAGUCAAAGCAGAGAGCCCCAAGGAGCUGGAACCAGAGUAAACAACGAAAGGUAAAUAAAGCCAAGUCAGUGGGUCAGAUGCUGUGUUCAAGUUCGACUUGUAAAAACCGAGAGGACUGUGGGGUGUGUGAAUAAGAUGGUAAAAUGGUAAAUGGCCUGUAUUUAUAUAGCGCUUUCUAGUCCCUAAGGACCCCAAAGCGCUUUACAUAUCCAGACAUCCACCCAUUCACACACACAUUCACACACUGGUGAUGGCAAGCUACAUAGUAGCCACAGCCACCCUGGGGCGCACUGACAGAGGCGAGGCUGCCGAACACUGGCGCCACCGGGCCCUCUGACCACCACCAGUAGGCAACGGGUGAAGUGUCUUGCCCAAGGACACAACGACCGAGACUGUCCAAGCUGGGGCUCGAACCGGCAACCUUCCGAUUACAAGGCGAACUCCCAACUCUUGAGCCACGACCGGAAGAAAGGAAAGGUUCCAGGACGAACCUGAAGUAGAAGCUUCCAUGAAUCCAUGGAUCUACAAUGCAUGAUGGGGAAGCAGCAGGACUUAACAGCACUUGUGCCUUUGCAGAAUUUGACAUUUGAUGUGCAUUUGCAAGUAAAAAUGUCCAAAGCUUAUAAGUA
Long non-coding RNA from Oreochromis aureus, 1549 nucleotides. The record is from Ensembl. Lineage: Eukaryota; Metazoa; Chordata; Actinopteri; Cichliformes; Cichlidae.